Molecule: long non-coding RNA, 3788 nt
Filed under: Salmo salar (Atlantic salmon)
Lineage: Eukaryota; Metazoa; Chordata; Actinopteri; Salmoniformes; Salmonidae
Description: lncRNA (ENSSSAG00000103419.1)
Source: RNAcentral
AGCAGACAAUGUGGAUGUGACUGGGAGAAUCUACUGGGGGAGGAAGUAGACAAUGUGGAUGUGACUGGGAGAAUCUACUGGAGGAGGAAGUAGACAAUGUGGAUGUGACUGGGAGAAUCUACUGGGCAAGGAAGCAGACAAUGUGGAUGUGACUGGGAGAAUCUACUGGGGAAGGAAGUAGACAAUGUGGAUGUGACUGGGAGAAUCUACUGGGGAAGGAAGUAGACAAUGUGGAUGUGACUGGGAGAAUCUACUGGGGAAGGAAGUAGACAAUGUGGAUGUGACUGGGAGAAUCUACUGGGGAGGGAAGUAGACAAUGUGGAUGUGACUGGGAGAAUCUACUGUGGAGGAGGAAGUAGACAAUGUGGAUGUGACUGGGAGAAUCUACUGGAGGAGGAAGUAGACAAUGUGGAUGUGACUGGGAGAAUCUACUGGAGGAGGAAGUAGACAAUGUGGAUGUGACUGGGAGCAUCUACUGGAGGAGGAAGUAGACAAUGUGGAUGUGACUGGGAGAAUCUACUGGAGGAGGAAGUAGACGAUGUGGAUGUGACUGGGAGAAUCUACUGGAGGAUGAAGUAGACUAUGUGGAUGUGACUGGGAGAAUCUACUGAAGGAGGAAGCAGACAAUGUGGAUGUGACUGGGAGAAUCAACUGGAGGAGGAAGCAGACAAUGUGGAUGUGACUGGGAGAAUCUACUGGCGAAGGAAGCAGACAAUGUAGAUGUGACUUGUAGAAUCUACUGGGGAAUGAAGCAGACAAUGUGGAUGUGACUGGGAGAAUCUACUGGGGAAGGAAGCAGACAAUGUGGAUGUGACUGGGAGAAUCUACUGGAGGAGGAAGCAGACAAUGUGGAUGUGACUGGGAGAACCUACUGGAGGAGGAAGUAGACAAUGUGGAUGUGACUGGGAGAAUCUACUGGAGGAGGAAGUAGACUAUGUGGAUGUGAGUGGGAGAAUCUACUGGAGGAGGAAGUAGACAAUGUGGAUGUGACUGGUAGAAUCUACUGGAGGAGGAAGUAGACAAUGUGGAUGUGACUGGGAGAAUCUACUGGAGGAGGAAGUAGACAAUGUGGAUGAGACUGGGAGAAUCUACUGGGGGAGGAAGUAGACAAUGUGGAUGUGACUGGGAGAAUCUACUGUGGAAGGAAGCAGACAAUGUGGAUGUGACUGGGAGAAUCUACUGUGGAAGGAAGCAGACAAUGUGGAUGUGACUGGGAGAAUCUACUGAGGAAAGAAGUAGACAAUGUGGAUGUGACUUGGAGAAUCUACUGGAGGAGGAAGUAGACAAUGUGGAUGUGACUGGAAUAAUCUACUGGGGAAGGAUGUAGACAAUGUGGAUGUGACUGGGAGAAUCUACUGGGGAAGGAAGCAGACAAUGUGGAUGUGACUGGAAGAAUCUACUGGGGAAGGAAGUAGACAAUGUGGAUGUGACUUGGAGAAUCUACUGGAGGAGGAAGUAGACAAUGUGGAUGUGACUGGGAGAAUCUACUGUGGAAGGAAGCAGACAAUGUGGAUGUGACUGGGAGAAUCUACUGGGGAAGGAAGUAGACAAUGUGGAUGUGACUGGAAGAAUCUACUGGGGAAGGAUGUAGACAAUGUGGAUGUGACUUUGAGAAUCUACUGGGGAAGGAUGUAGACAAUGUGGAUGUGACUGGGAGAAUCUACUGGGGAAGGAAGCAGACAAUGUGGAUGUGACUGGGAGAAUCUACUGGAGGAGGAAGUAGACAAUGUGGAUGUGACUGGGAGAAUCUACUGUGGAAGGAAAUAGACAGUGUGGAUGUGACUGGGAGAAUCUACUGUGGGAGGAAGUAGACAAUGUGGAUGUGACUGGAAGAAUCUACUGGGGAAGGAAGCAGACAAUGUAGAUGUGACUUGGAGAAUCUACUGGGGAAGGAAGUAGACAAUGUGGAAGUGACUGGAAGAAUCUACUGGGGAAGGAAGUAGACAAUGUGGAUGUGACUUUGAGAAUCUACUGGGGAAGGAUGUAGACAAUGUGGAUGUGACUGGGAGAAUCUACUGGAGGAGGAAGCAGACAAUGUGGAUGUGACUGGGAGAAUCUACUGGAGGAGGAAGUAGACAAUGUGGAUGUGACUGGGAGAAUCUACUGUGGAAGGAAAUAGACAGUGUGGAUGUGACUGGGAGAAUCUACUGUGGAAGGAAAUAGACAAUGUGGAUGUGACUGGGAGAAUCUACUGGGGGAGGAAGUAGACAAUGUGGAUGUGACUGGGAGAAUCUACUGGAGGAGGAAGUAGACAAUGUGGAUGUGACUGGGAGAAUCUACUGGAGGAGGAAGUAGAUGAUGUGGAUGUGACUGGGAGAAUCUACUGGAGGAUGAAGUAGACUAUGUGGAUGUGACUGGGAGAAUCUACUGAAGGAGGAAGUAGACAAUGUGGAUGUGACUGGAAGAAUCAACUGGAGGAGGAAGCAGACAAUGUGGAUGUGACUGGAAGAAUCUACUGGGGAAGGAAGCAGACAAUGUAGAUGUGACUUGGAGAAUCUACUGGGGAAGGAAGCAGACAAUGUGGAUGUGACUGGGAGAAUCUACUGAGGAAGGAAGCAGACAAUGUGGAUGUGACUGGGAGAAUCUACUGGGGAAGGAAGCAGACAAUGUGGAUGUGACUGGGAGAAUCUACUGGAGGAGGAAGUAGACAAUGUGGAUGUGAGGGAAACAAUCUACUGGAGGAGGAAGUAGACUAUGUGGAUGUGACUGGGAGAAUCUACUGGAGGAGGAAGUAGACAAUGUGGAUGUGACUGGAAGAAUCUACUGGAGGAGGAAGUAGACAAUGUGGAUGUGACUGGGAGAAUCUACUGGAGGAGGAAGUAGACAAUGUGGAUGUGACUGGAAGAAUCUACUGGAGGAGGAAGUAGACAAUGUGGAUGUGACUGGGAGAAUCUACUGUGGAAGGAAGCAGACAAUGUGGAUGUGACUGGGAGAAUCUACUGUGGAAGGAAGCAGACAAUGUGGAUGUGACUGGGAGAAUCUACUGGGGAAAGAAGUAGACAAUGUGGAUGUGACUUGGAUGAUCUACUGGAGGAGGAAGUAGACAAUGUGGAUGUGACUGGAAUAAUCUACUGGGGAAGGAUGUAGACAAUGUGGAUGUGACUGGGAGAAUCUACUGGGGAAGGAAGCAGACAAUGUGGAUGUGACUGGAAGAAUCUACUGGGGAAGGAAGUAGACAAUGUGGAUGUGACUGGGAGAAUCUAUUGGAGGAGGAAGUAGACAAUAUGGAUGUGAGGGAAACAAUCUACUGGAGGAGGAAGUAGACUAUGUGGAUGUGAGGGGAACAAUAUACUGGUUACUGUACCAGCACCAACUCUCUCUCUCCUUCUGUGUGUGUGUGUGUGUGUGUGUGUGUGUGUGUGUGUGUGUGUGUGUGUGUGUGUGUGUGUGUGUGUGUGUGUGUGUGUGUGUGUGUGUGUGUGUGUGUGUGUGUGUGUGUGUGUGUGUGUGUGUGUAAGCGGAAAACUCCUCUUGCACAGUAACUUAUCCGCACAAUACUAUUUAACUUUUUUUAUCCUUUUGAGUUGUUUCUGUAAACUUUUUAAAACUCUUUAAUUGCAAGGCUAGGGGAAAAACAAAUGACAGGCAAAACUAUUGUAUUUAAAUUCCGAGAAUGUAAUGAAACAUAAAUGUAUAAUGCAUCUGGCUGGGGACACUGGAGUGUAGUGUGAAUAAUUAACAAUGUUAUAUUAUCCUGCUGUUAGAAACUCCUCAGCUAUCCUACUUUAAAAUGCUGCUGCUCAUUUCAUUGUGGAUCUGUUUUUUUCAUUAAAGCAUCAGGAAAAUAA